Molecule: ribosomal RNA, 347 nt
Filed under: uncultured bacterium
Lineage: Bacteria
Description: bacterial SSU rRNA
Rfam family: Bacterial small subunit ribosomal RNA
Source: RNAcentral
GGACCCGCACAAGCGGUGGAGCAUGUGGUUUAAUUCGAUGCAACGCGAAAAACCUUACCUACUCUUGACAUACUGGGGCUCUUGUAAUGAGAGUGUGCCUUUUGGAACCAAGAUACAGGUGCUGCAUGGCUGUCGUCAGCUCGUGUCGUGAGAUGUUCCGUUAAGUCGGAUAACGAGCGCAACCCUUACCCUUAUUUGCCAGCGAUUCGGUCGGGAACUAUAAGGGGACUGCCGGUGAUAAACCGGAGGAAGGUGAGGACGACGUCAAGUCAUCAUGGCCCUUACGAGUAGGGCUACACACGUGCUACAAUGGGGAAUACAGACGGACGCUAAGCCGCGAGGUGGUG